Molecule: ribosomal RNA, 497 nt
Filed under: uncultured bacterium
Lineage: Bacteria
Description: partial 16S ribosomal RNA
Rfam family: Bacterial small subunit ribosomal RNA
Source: RNAcentral
GAGGAAAGAGGGAGGCGUGCCUAAUACAUGCAAGUCGAGCGAACAGACGAGGAGCUUGCUCCUCUGACGUUAGCGGCGGACGGGUGAGUAACACGUGGAUAACCUACCUAUAAGACUGGGAUAACUUCGGGAAACCGGAGCUAAUACCGGAUAAUAUAUUGAACCGCAUGGUUCGAUAGUGAAAGACGGUUUUGCUGUCACUUAUAGAUGGAUCCGCGCCGCAUUAGCUAGUUGGUAAGGUAACGGCUUACCAAGGCAACGAUGCGUAGCCGACCUGAGAGGGUGAUCGGCCACACUGGAACUGAGACACGGUCCAGACUCCUACGGGAGGCAGCAGUAGGGAAUCUUCCGCAAUGGGCGAAAGCCUGACGGAGCAACGCCGCGUGAGUGAUGAAGGUCUUCGGAUCGUAAAACUCUGUUAUUAGGGAAGAACAAAUGUGUAAGUAACUAUGCACGUCUUGACGGUACCUAAUCAGAAAGCCACGGCUAACUACGUG